GGGAGUCGGCGAUUAAACCUCUGGAUCGGCGAUUCCCAUACCUGAAUCGCCGAUUCCCAGCCGUUACUUGAGCGGACCUUCGCCAUUAAGGCAUUCCUUAUUAGGGGUACCUUAAUGGCGUGGGCCCCACUCGAUUGAAUGGGGAAACGCCCCCCAAGACCCUAUAAAAGGGGUCCUUGGGGGACCUCUAUCCUCAACUCACAUCCUCUUGACUCACACUCCCACUAGAGCAAACCAAGGAGCCCGAAUCGCC
RNAcentral lists this long non-coding RNA (253 nucleotides) under Zostera marina. Its description in RNAcentral is "long non-coding RNA (ZMAR_LNC003247)". The record is from RNAcentral. Lineage: Eukaryota; Viridiplantae; Streptophyta; Magnoliopsida; Alismatales; Zosteraceae.